Molecule: ribosomal RNA, 443 nt
Filed under: uncultured bacterium
Lineage: Bacteria
Description: partial 16S ribosomal RNA
Rfam family: Bacterial small subunit ribosomal RNA
Source: RNAcentral
CCUACGGGUGGCAGCAGUGGGGAAUAUUGGGCAAUGGGCGCAAGCCUGACCCAGCAACGCCGCGUGAAGGAAGAAGGCUUUAGGGUUGUAAACUUCCUUUCUCAGGGACGAAGCAAGUGACGGUACCUGAGGAAUAAGCCACGCCUAACUACGUGCCAGCAGCCGCGGUAAUACGUAGGUGGCAAGCGUUAUCCGGAUUUAUUGGGUGUAAAGGGUGUGUAGGUGGGACUGUAAGUCAGAUGUGAAAGCUAUGGGCUCAACCAAUGACUUGCAUUUGAAACUGUAGUUCUUGAGUACGGUGGAGGCAGGCGGAAUGCGUGGUGUAGCGGUGAAAUGCGUAGAUAGUAGGAAGAACUCCGGUUGCGAAGGCAGUUUGCUAAGCCACAACUGACACUGAGGCACGAAAGCGUGGGGAGCAAACAGGAUUAGAUACCCGAGUAGUC